CAACAAACCCCACUCUCUAGCAAAGUGCAGAGGGUUCAGGAGUAAACACCUAGAUGAAAGGAAAGCUUACUUGAGAGAAAUGGCUAUCUGUUUUCGGUGCUGUGCAUCCACAAAACAUCUUGCUAAAGACUGUAAAGCAGUGGUGAAGUGCAGGGAAUGUAACAGUGAAAGACAUAUUUCUGCAUUACACCCAGGCCCACCUCCUUGGACAACGGAAGCUCAAGUGGAGGAGCAAGAGCACGGCGGGGAGCAGGAUGGUGGAUUAAUUCCGCAAGUCUCCUCUAAGUGUACAGAAAUCUGUGGCAGCAUACCUUCCCCCAGAUCGUGCUCAAAAAUAUGUCUGGUUCAUGUUUACCCAGCUGACCAGCCCACUAAAACCCAGAAAGUGUAUGCGGUGUUAGAUGAGCAAAGUAACCGUUCACUGGUGAAGCCGGACUUCUUCACUCUUUUUGGCAUCAGUGGAGUUCCAUCCCCUUACACCCUCAAAACAUGUUCAGGCAUCACGGAGGUGGAAGGAAGGAAAGCUAGUGGUUUCGUUGUUGCAUCACUUGAUGGAAAAACUCAGGUGGCUCUUCCUCCUCUUCUUGAGUGCAACAUGAUCCCAGAUGAUCGAUCUGAAAUUCCUACCCCAGAGAUUGCAUGUUACUACCCGCACCUUGCAUCAGUUGCAGACAAAAUCCCACCAGCUGACUCCAGUGCACCUAUCCUUCUGCUCUUAGGGCGGGACAUCCUCAGUGUUCAUAAAGUGCGUGAACAACGAAAUGGUUCAAACAACAUGCCAUAUGCACAGCGAUUGGACUUAGGCUGGGUGAUUGUAGGUGAGGUGUGUCUGGGGGGUGCUCACCAAGAAAAGAAAGUGAAUGUAUUUAGAACAAAUGUCCUUCAAAAUGGACGUGCCUCUUUUCUUAAGCCGUGCCCUAGCGUGAUCAAUGUAAAAGAGAAAUACAGCGCUCCGUUUCUACAACAUCAUGAAGGUCUACACAGUGUUCCUCAGGAAGGAGCUCUAGCUAUUGUCACAGACAAUCUGGGAAGCACAGUUUUCCAAAGUAAUCUACAUGAUGACAAAGUCACUCUGUCAGUUGAGGAUGGCAUUUUCCUUGAAAUAAUGGACAGAGACGUCUAUAUGGAUGAGGAAAAUCACUGGGUGGCACCUCUUCCUUUUCGCCUGCCUCAUCGUCCUCUCCCAAAUAACAGAAACCAAGCUAUGAAGCGUCAUACGGCUCUGCAACGCCUUCUACAAAAAAAACCAGAAAUGCGAAAACAGUUUGUGGACUUCAUGCAGAAAAUCUUUGAGAAAGGUCAGGCAGAAGCAGCACCACCUCUGAAGCAGGGCGAGGAAGCUUGGUACCUGCCUAUUUUUGGAGUGUAUCACCCGCAGAAACUGGACAAGAUUCGGGUCGUCUUUGACUCAAGUGCCCAGUAUAACGGCAUGUCCCUCAAUGACACUCUCCUCAGUGGUCCAGACUUAAAUAACAC
This 1476-nucleotide long non-coding RNA is filed under the name Oryzias javanicus (javanese ricefish). RNAcentral describes it as "lncRNA (ENSOJAG00000018991.1)". The record is from RNAcentral. Lineage: Eukaryota; Metazoa; Chordata; Actinopteri; Beloniformes; Adrianichthyidae.